GUGGGGAAUCUUGCGCAAUGGGCGAAAGCCUGACGCAGCCAUGCCGCGUGAAUGAUGAAGGUCUUAGGAUUGUAAAAUUCUUUCACCGGGGACGAUAAUGACGGUACCCGGAGAAGAAGCCCCGGCUAACUUCGUGCCAGCAGCCGCGGUAAUACGAAGGGGGCUAGCGUUGCUCGGAAUUACUGGGCGUAAAGGGCGCGUAGGCGGACAGUUUAGUCAGAGGUGAAAGCCCAGGGCUCAACCUUGGAAUUGCCUUUGAUACUGGCUGUCUUGAGUACGGGAGAGGUGAGUGGAACUCCGAGUGUAGAGGUGAAAUUCGUAGAUAUUCGGAGGAACACCAGUGGCGAAGGCGGCUCACUGGCUCGAUACUGACGCUGAGGUGCGAAAGCGUUGGGAGCAAACAGGAUUAGAUACCCGAGUAGUCC
RNAcentral lists this ribosomal RNA (425 nucleotides) under uncultured bacterium. RNAcentral's name for it is "bacterial SSU rRNA". It matches the Rfam family "Bacterial small subunit ribosomal RNA", at positions 354 to 796 of the family's 1533-position model. The record is from RNAcentral.